Molecule: ribosomal RNA, 595 nt
Filed under: Siganus stellatus (brownspotted spinefoot)
Lineage: Eukaryota; Metazoa; Chordata; Actinopteri; Siganidae
Description: partial 16S ribosomal RNA
Rfam family: Bacterial large subunit ribosomal RNA
Source: RNAcentral
CCAAAAACAUCGCCUCUUGCAAAAUUAAUGAAUAAGAGGUCCCGCCUGCCCUGUGACUAUAUGUUUAACGGCCGCGGUAUUUUGACCGUGCGAAGGUAGCGCAAUCACUUGUCUUUUAAAUGGAGACCUGUAUGAAUGGCAUAACGAGGGCUUAGCUGUCUCCUCUUUCAAGUCAAUGAAAUUGAUCUCCCCGUGCAGAAGCGGGGAUAAUCUCGUAAGACGAGAAGACCCUAUGGAGCUUUAGACACCAAAGCAGAUCAUGUUAAACACCCUUAAAUAAAAGACUAAACAAGAUGAAACCUGCCCUAAUGUCUUUGGUUGGGGCGACCGCGGGGAAACACAAAACCCCCACGUGGAAUGGGACUACCCGUCCUACAGCCUAGAGCUCCCGCUCUAAGCAACAGAAUUUCUGACCAAUAAGAUCCGGCAAAGCCGAUCAACGGACCGAGUUACCCUAGGGAUAACAGCGCAAUCCUCUUUUAGAGCCCAUAUCGACAAGAGGGUUUACGACCUCGAUGUUGGAUCAGGACAUCCUAAUGGUGCAGCCGCUAUUAAGGGUUCGUUUGUUCAACGAUUAAAGUCCUACGUGAUCUGA